GACGAACGCUGGCGGCGUGCUUAACACAUGCAAGUCGAACGGAAAGGCCUCUUUCGGGGGGUACUCGAGUGGCGAACGGGUGAGUAACACGUGAGUAACCUGCCCUUGACUUUGGGAUAACUUCAGGAAACUGGGGCUAAUACCGGAUAGGAGCUCCUGCUGCAUGGUGGGGGUUGGAAAGUUUCGGCGGUUGGGGAUGGACUCGCGGCUUAUCAGCUUGUUGGUGGGGUAGUGGCUUACCAAGGCUUUGACGGGUAGCCGGCCUGAGAGGGUGACCGGCCACAUUGGGACUGAGAUACGGCCCAGACUCCGACGGGAGGCAGCAGUGAGGAAGAUUGCACAAUGGGUGGAAGCCUGAUGCAGCAACGCCGUGUGCGGGAGGACGGCCUUCGUGUUGUAAACCGCGUUCGCUCAUGACGAAGCUUUGUGUGACGGUAGUGGGUAAAGAAGCACCGGCUAACUACGUG
This 467-nucleotide ribosomal RNA is filed under the name uncultured bacterium. RNAcentral's name for it is "partial 16S ribosomal RNA". It matches the Rfam family "Bacterial small subunit ribosomal RNA", at positions 28 to 507 of the family's 1533-position model. The record is from RNAcentral.